AGCUGACAUCCAAGCUUGUAAGGGUGUGACCGUGACCCUAGGUCCCAGCCAGCCAACGUGCAGCUGGGUGCCAGAGAGAAGCAGAAGUGAGGAGGUGGGCCAGCAGGUUGUCCAGGGCAGGUCUUCCUGAGACCUGGUGGUUGAAGGAGUCAGGGAAAGAUGGAGCAUUGAGCUCAGGUCAUGGGACAGUGUGGAAUUUCCUUCCACCAUAGUGCUGAGCCCCUCAAAGGACUGUGCUCAAGAUGAUCCCAGGGACUAGCAACCAUCCACCUUUGGCAAUGGUGGGUGCUUUUAACUAGCUUGGAGUAAUUGCUGGCUGUAACCACAGACCUUUCCUCAAGUGUGCUCGGAGUUCAGACUUAACAUACUUGCCUAGCCACAAGAGUCUCAGGCAGGAAGUACACCUAACACAGCCUUUGAUUGACAGCUUCCUAGAGUGCAAGGCAGGAACACACACACAUGCAGUCUGUGGAGCUGACCUUCCACCUCGGGGCAGGUCACAGGAGUCCAGCAGAUAAAGACCACCAAGCGUGAGCUCACGAUUCCAGAACCACAGAAACAGGAGCCAGAGCAGGAGGAGGGGAAACCACAGGGAGCAGAACUAGAUGGCCUUAAAUUUAGAUAUGACAUUUCAGGUGAAGAAAACUGGCAAACGUCUAGAACAUUUUAAAAUAAAUAUGAGUUACAUGAAUAAAAAGGUCAUGCUGUAUCUAAAGAUUAAAUAGAAUUGGAAAAGAAACAAGUGAAACCUUUAGAAAUGAAAAAUAUGGUAACAGCAUUGAAAAGCUCAAAUGGUCCUGUUAAACCACAGGUUAUUAACAUCUGGGAAGAGAAUUGGUCAACUGAUUGUGAACGAAUGUCAUAAAGUGCAACACAAAGACCUGGAAGUGGA
Molecule: long non-coding RNA, 892 nt
Filed under: Marmota monax (woodchuck)
Lineage: Eukaryota; Metazoa; Chordata; Mammalia; Rodentia; Sciuridae
Source: RNAcentral